CCACGGACAGCGCCUGAAAGAAGGCUUAUGGAGAGGACCAGUCUCUCUCGCUCGCUCUCUCGUUCUCUCUCUCUCUCUCUCUCUCUCUCGUGAGGUGCUUUGAAAUGCGCGAGUCUAUAUCUCAGAGGGUUACGGCUUACAUCAAGAUCCUCAGGAUAAAAAGUGCGCGCGACUAAACGAACGCCUCAGAGCGGUUUACUGUAAAGAGCAAGAGAUUAACACAACAUCAACACCAUGCAGGCUGAUGGGAAGGGGAUGGACGGUGGCCUGCUGCCUGAUGCCAAUGGGAUGGAGCCCAGCCCGGGAGAACGGAGGGGGAGGACAGAGGGAAAUGGCAGAAGCCCCAGAUCAGCCGUAAAUCUCUGAUGAAGUGCUGCCUCGUCAAAUGGAUCAUCGACAGCACAACAAAUGCACAGGGGCCAGAUACAGAGAGCAAUGAAAGCCUGUCUACAGAUGAAGAGGUACCAAUGAAGAGCAGUGGUUCUCAGUCCUGGUCCUGGGGACUCAAAGGGGUGCACAUUUUUGUUUUUGCCUUAGCACUACACAGCUGAUUCAAAUGAUCAACUCAUCAUCAAGCUUCAAGGGGUAUUUAUGUAUUAAUGUGUGAUGCUAUCCUUGAUAUGAUCCUGCUGUUGUCACAUGCUACACAUGCAUCUAUCAAUCCAAUGUAAUCAUGAUUUGUUAUAAGAGAUAUUAUACUUCAGUAAUCCACAAUGACCUAGUGAUGUAAAUGUCUAAUAACGACAUUAUCUUCCAUAUU
Molecule: long non-coding RNA, 760 nt
Organism: Coregonus clupeaformis (lake whitefish)
Lineage: Eukaryota; Metazoa; Chordata; Actinopteri; Salmoniformes; Salmonidae
Exons: 3
Source: RefSeq, a predicted model, not a curated record